GACGAACCGUGCGAACGUUGUUCGGAAUCACUGGGCUUAAAGGGCGCGUAGGCGGCUUGCCAAGUCGGGGGUGAAAUCCGGCAGCUUAACUGUCGAAGUGCCUUCGAUACUGGCGAGCUCGAGGGAGGUAGGGGUCUGUGGAACUGCUGGUGGAGCGGUGAAAUGCGCAGAUAUCAGGAGGAACACCAAUGGCGAAGGCAGCUCGCUGGGACGGUACUGACGCUGAGACGCGAAAGCGUGGGGAGCAAACAGG
Molecule: ribosomal RNA, 253 nt
Filed under: uncultured bacterium
Lineage: Bacteria
Description: partial 16S ribosomal RNA
Rfam family: Bacterial small subunit ribosomal RNA
Source: RNAcentral